UGGGGAAUAUUGGACAAUGGGCGCAAGCCUGAUCCAGCCAUGCCGCGUGAGUGAUGAAGGCCCUAGGGUUGUAAAGCUCUUUCGCCAGGGACGAUAAUGACGGUACCUGGAUAAGAAGCCCCGGCUAACUUCGUGCCAGCAGCCGCGGUAAUACGAAGGGGGCUAGCGUUGUUCGGAAUCACUGGGCGUAAAGCGCACGUAGGCGGAUCUUUAAGUCAGGGGUGAAAUCCCGAGGCUCAACCUCGGAACUGCCUUUGAUACUGGAGGUCUCGAGUUCGGGAGAGGUGAGUGGAACUGCGAGUGUAGAGGUGAAAUUCGUAGAUAUUCGCAAGAACACCAGUGGCGAAGGCGGCUCACUGGCCCGAUACUGACGCUGAGGUGCGAAAGCGUGGGGAGCAAAACAGGAUUAGAUACCCUGGUAGUCCACGCCGUAAAACGAUGGAUGCUAGCCGUUGGAGAGCUUGCUCUUCAGUGGCGCAGCUAACGCUUUAAGCAUCCCGCCUGGGGAGUACGGUCGCAAGAUUAAAACUCAAAUGAAUUGACGGGGUCAUAGCUGUUUCCUG
This 563-nucleotide ribosomal RNA is filed under the name uncultured bacterium. Its description in RNAcentral is "partial 16S ribosomal RNA". It matches the Rfam family "Bacterial small subunit ribosomal RNA", at positions 355 to 1376 of the family's 1533-position model. The record is from RNAcentral.